Molecule: ribosomal RNA, 761 nt
Filed under: Prevotella melaninogenica
Lineage: Bacteria; Pseudomonadati; Bacteroidota; Bacteroidia; Bacteroidales; Prevotellaceae
Description: bacterial SSU rRNA
Rfam family: Bacterial small subunit ribosomal RNA
Source: RNAcentral
GAUGAACGCUAGCUACAGGCCUAACACAUGCAAGUCGAGGGGAAACGGCAUUUAGUGCUUGCACCGAAUGGACGUCGACCGGCGCACGGGUGAGUAACGCGUAUCCAACCUACCCAUUACUGUGGGAUAACCUGCCGAAAGGCAGACUAAUACCGCAUAGUCUUCGAUGACGGCAUCAGAUUUGAAGUAAAGAUUUAUCGGUAAUGGAUGGGGAUGCGUCUGAUUAGCUUGUUGGCGGGGUAACGGCCCACCAAGGCAACGAUCAGUAGGGGUUCUGAGAGGAAGGUCCCCCACAUUGGAACUGAGACACGGUCCAAACUCCUACGGGAGGCAGCAGUGAGGAAUAUUGGUCAAUGGGCGUGAGCCUGAACCAGCCAAGUAGCGUGCAGGAUGACGGCCCUAUGGGUUGUAAACUGCUUUUGUAUGGGGAUAAAGUCAAUCACGUGUGAUUGUUUGCAGGUACCAUACGAAUAAGGACCGGCUAAUUCCGUGCCAGCAGCCGCGGUAAUACGGAAGGUCCGGGCGUUAUCCGGAUUUAUUGGGUUUAAAGGGAGCGUAGGCCGGAGAUUAAGUGUGUUGUGAAAUGUAGACGCUCAACGUCUGACUUGCAGCGCAUACUGGUUUCCUUGAGUACGCACAACGUUGGCGGAAUUCGUCGUGUAGCGGUGAAAUGCUUAGAUAUGACGAAGAACUCCGAUUGCGAAGGCAGCUGACGGGAGCGCAACUGACGCUUAAGCUCGAAGGUGCGGGUAUCGAACAGG